AUGGUAAAACAUACUCUUGAUAAGGGUAAGACUUUAGUUCAAUUCUAAAAUAACCUA
This 57-nucleotide transfer RNA is filed under the name Plasmodium berghei. RNAcentral describes it as "tRNA-Ile". It matches the Rfam family "tRNA", at positions 15 to 71 of the family's 71-position model. Rfam says of the family: Transfer RNA (tRNA) molecules are approximately 80 nucleotides in length. Their secondary structure includes four short double-helical elements and three loops (D, anti-codon, and T loops). Further hydrogen bonds mediate the characteristic L-shaped molecular structure. tRNAs have two regions of fundamental functional importance: the anti-codon, which is responsible for specific mRNA codon recognition, and the 3' end, to which the tRNAs corresponding amino acid is attached (by aminoacyl-tRNA synthetases). tRNAs cope with the degeneracy of the genetic code in two manners: having more than one tRNA (with a specific anti-codon) for a particular amino acid; and 'wobble' base-pairing, i.e. permitting non-standard base-pairing at the 3rd anti-codon position. The record is from RNAcentral. Lineage: Eukaryota; Apicomplexa; Aconoidasida; Haemosporida; Plasmodiidae.